This 497-nucleotide ribosomal RNA is filed under the name uncultured bacterium. RNAcentral's name for it is "partial 16S ribosomal RNA". It matches the Rfam family "Bacterial small subunit ribosomal RNA", at positions 28 to 523 of the family's 1533-position model. The record is from RNAcentral.
GAUGAACGCUAGCGGGAGGCCUAACACAUGCAAGCCGAGCGGUAGAAAGUAGCUUGCUACUUUUGAGAGCGGCGUACGGGUGCGUAACACGUGUGCAACCUGCCUUUAUCUGGAGAAUAGCCUUUCGAAAGGAAGAUUAAUGCUCCAUAACAUAUUGAAUGGCAUCAUUUAAUAUUGAAAGCUCCGGCGGAUAGAGAUGGGCACGCGCAAGAUUAGUUAGUUGGUGAGGUAACGGCUCACCAAGGCGAUGAUCUUUAGGGGGCCUGAGAGGGUGAUCCCCCACACUGGUACUGAGACACGGACCAGACUCCUACGGGAGGCAGCAGUGAGGAAUAUUGGACAAUGGGUGAAAGCCUGAUCCAGCCAUCUCGCGUGAAGGAUGACGGCCCUAUGGGUUGUAAACUUCUUUUGUAUAGGGAUAAACCUACCCUCGUGAGGGUAGCUGAAGGUACUAUACGAAUAAGCACCGGCUAACUCCGUGCCAGCCGCCGCGGUAA